AGCUCCAAUAGCGUAUAUUAAAGUUGUUGCAGUUAAAAAGCUCGUAGUUGGAUUUGUGGUGUGCGCCUUGGCGUUGGGAUUCGUUUCCUUUUCUGCCUUGGCCGCGCCAUCCUUGGGUGGAAUCUGUGUGGCAUUAGGUUGUCGUGCAGGGGAUGCCCAUCGUUUACUGUGAAAAAAUUAGAGUGUUCAAAGCAGGCUUAUGCCGUUGAAUAUAUUAGCAUGGAAUAAUAAGAUAGGUCUUUGGUCCUAUUUUGUUGGUUUGCGGGCCGGAGAAAUGAUUAACAGGGACAGUUGGGGGUAUUCGUAUUCCAUUGUCAGAGGUGAAAUUCUUGGAUUUCUGGAAGACGAACUACUGCGAAAGCAUUUACCAAGGAUGUUUUCAUUAAUCAAGAACGAAAGU
Molecule: ribosomal RNA, 400 nt
Filed under: phytoplankton environmental sample
Lineage: Eukaryota
Description: partial small subunit ribosomal RNA
Rfam family: Eukaryotic small subunit ribosomal RNA
Source: RNAcentral